RNAcentral lists this non-coding RNA (113 nucleotides) under Nonomuraea sp. Its description in RNAcentral is "TPP sequence". It matches the Rfam family "TPP riboswitch aptamer (THI element)". Rfam says of the family: Vitamin B(1) in its active form thiamin pyrophosphate (TPP) is an essential coenzyme that is synthesised by coupling of pyrimidine and thiazole moieties in bacteria. The previously detected thiamin-regulatory element, thi box was extended, resulting in a new, highly conserved RNA secondary structure, the THI element, which is widely distributed in eubacteria and also occurs in some archaea. The record is from RNAcentral. RNAcentral also lists the same sequence under 2 other names. Lineage: Bacteria; Bacillati; Actinomycetota; Actinomycetes; Streptosporangiales; Streptosporangiaceae.
GCCGACCAACGCGGGAGCCCGGUGGAGACCGGGCUGAGAGGACGGCUGACAGCCGCCGACCGCCAGAACCUGCUCCGGAUAAUGCCGGCGAAGGGAGUUUGCGCGAUGACGAG